This 162-nucleotide ribosomal RNA is filed under the name Sus scrofa (pig). Its description in RNAcentral is "partial 28S rRNA 3' end". It matches the Rfam family "Eukaryotic large subunit ribosomal RNA", at positions 2967 to 3130 of the family's 3401-position model. Lineage: Eukaryota; Metazoa; Chordata; Mammalia; Artiodactyla; Suidae. The record is from RNAcentral.
ACCGUCGUGAGCACUGUUAGUUUUACCCUACUGAUGAUGUGUUGUUGCCAUGGNAAUCCUGCUCAGUACGAGAGGAACCGCAGUNAAGACAUUUGGUGUAUGUNCUUGGCUGAGGAGCCAAUGGGGCGAAGUACCAUCUGUGGGAUUAUGACUNANCGCCUC